Molecule: long non-coding RNA, 1639 nt
Organism: Ictidomys tridecemlineatus (thirteen-lined ground squirrel)
Lineage: Eukaryota; Metazoa; Chordata; Mammalia; Rodentia; Sciuridae
Source: Ensembl
CAGCCCCUGCUCCCUCCCUCCUGCCGUGGGCCUCUGCCACAGUGGCAGGCUGGCCAGGCCUUUCUGCCUCCGUGGGGCUGGCGUAAAGUGCUGGGUGCCUGGGAGGGAGGCUCAGGCUCGGGGUGGGGUCUGCAGGGAAGCCCGCUGCCCCAGGGGCCCUUAUUUGAGGAUGUAGUUGAUGAAGAGCUGACAAGCCAGGAAGACGCAGAGCAGGAACCAGGUGCGGGGGCUCUGCAGGAGGCCGGGGGCGGGCUGCCCAGCCUGCACCACGGAGCUCAGCAUGGCCGACAGGUGCCUGCAACACAGGGCGGGAGGAGGGCUGGGGCCAGCAUGGCCGCCCUGCCUGACAGUUCCAGGGCCUCUAACCUGCAAGACCUCACAGUCUCCCCGGGCAGCACCCUGGCCCAGGUCUGUGUCGGGCCCUGUAGGUCCCGUCUCUGACAACACAGGAGCUGACGCCCUGGUGGACAGGCCUUUACUCAUGGCCCUGGGACACUCGCUGUCCCAUGUCCCACUCCUGGAACAUUUCUGCCCUUUGGUGUCCUGUCCCUGGUAGGUUUCAGGAGCCAGAGAGGAGCCACAAGGACAGCAGAGCCCAAAUGCUCGCCGGGUGCCUGAGGGGAUCAGCCUCCAGCCUCACCCACUGCUCCAGGUGUUUUGCCAUCAACUCCAUUUUAUAGAGGUGGGGGCUGAGGUGUGACAGGGCAGGGUCCCCAGCCAGGGAGUCCCUCAACCCAGACUGGAGCCCGGCAUGAGCUGGACACUGUUCUGCUCCACCUGUGGUGGCCCAGAGGGUGCCCACCCACCAGGGACACAGAGGGUGGCUCUGGGGCCCUCCUUGCCUGCUCACCUGCCCAGCUGCACCUGCGGGUGCCAAGGAGGGGCUACUCCUAUACUCCCUCCUCUGAGCUGCCAUCUGCCUCCACAAACCUUGGGGUCCUCCCUGGGGCUACUCAGAUUUAGACCUGGGCCCUCAAAAUCUCUGGCCCAGUUUCUGUUAAACUGUGAACUCAUUCUGUUGAGACCCACUGUCUGCAGGGACCCCUCACUGGCUCCCAAGCGCAGCUCCGGAAUAGAGCCGUGUGCCUCCGGCCUGCACAGCUGGCCUCCCCCCACUUGCCCUGGCUGGGGGCCGGCCGCCUGGCCUACCUGUGCAGCUCCUCCUGGGCCUCCCGGAUGGACAGCACGGCCUCCCGCAGUGCCUGCAGCUGCUGUGCCUCCCUCCUGCACCGAGGACAUGGGCUGUCAUCAGCUGCACACCCCAGGCACAGGCAGACACAGGAAGGAAGGGAGAAGCAGGAGCCUGCGCUGUGUCUCCCUGUGAGAAGCUUCUCCCAAGCUUGGCUCCACCUCCCACCUGCAGGGGCCUCCCUGUGGAGCUGACGGUCACCUGACGGUCACCUGCCAGCUGUGUUGGGGACCCCUCCCUCCAGCUGUCCCUGCCAGGACACAUGGUCUGCCACAAGGGGUCUGCUCUGGGGUCUGCCUGCCUGCCUGGCCAGGCGAGGCUUUGGUCAGUGGCGUCCUGUGGGGCCAGGCGGUCUCACCUCUCAGACUCCAUCUCCAUCUGCUCCUCAAACAGCACCGUGUGGCGCUUCAGGCUCUGCCUGCGGACCUCCCUGCUGGGGGUCCAGAAGAG